AAACAUUUCCUCUUAGAUAAAGAGGUAAGGCCUGCUCACUGAAUUUUAAAGAGCCGCAGUAUUCUAACUGUGCUAAGGUAGCAUAAUCAUUAGUCUUUUAAUUGGAGACUGGUAUGAAUGGCUAAACGAGAAAUUAACUUUUUUUGUUAUAAAGAUUGAAUUUAAUUUUUUAGUGAAAAAGCUAAAAUUUUUCAGAAAGACGAGAAGACCCUUUAGAGUUUUAUGUUUUAAAAAUAAAUUUUUAUUAGAUUUUUAAUUAUUUAUUUUCAUAAACAUUUUGUUGGGGCGACAUAAAGAUAAAUAAAACUCUUUAUAUUAAAAAUUUUUAUAAAAAUAUUCUUGAUCCUUUAUAAGAGAUUAUAAGAAAAAAUUACCUUAGGGAUAACAGCGUAAUCUUUUUUAAGAGUUCUAAUCGACAAAAAGGUUUGCGACCUCGAUGUUGGACUAAAAUUUAGGCAGGGUGCAGCAGUUCUGCUUUUAGGUCUGUUCGACCUAUAAAA
This 500-nucleotide ribosomal RNA is filed under the name Savignium crenatum. RNAcentral's name for it is "partial 16S ribosomal RNA". It matches the Rfam family "Bacterial large subunit ribosomal RNA", at positions 1811 to 2593 of the family's 2925-position model. The record is from RNAcentral. Lineage: Eukaryota; Metazoa; Arthropoda; Thecostraca; Balanomorpha; Pyrgomatidae.